RNAcentral lists this ribosomal RNA (333 nucleotides) under uncultured Macrococcus sp. RNAcentral's name for it is "bacterial SSU rRNA". It matches the Rfam family "Bacterial small subunit ribosomal RNA", at positions 1045 to 1382 of the family's 1533-position model. Lineage: Bacteria; Bacillati; Bacillota; Bacilli; Caryophanales; Staphylococcaceae. The record is from RNAcentral.
AUGGUUGUCGUCAGCUCGUGUCGUGAGAUGUUGGGUUAAGUCCCGCAACGAGCGCAACCCUUAUCUUUAGUUGCCAUCAUUAGGUUGGGCACUCUAGAGAGACUGCCGGUGACAAACCGGAGGAAGGUGGGAUGACGUCAAAUCAUCAUGCCCCUUAUGAUUUGGCUACACACGUGCUACAAUGGAUGGUACAAAGGGUAGCAAACCGCGAGGUCAAGCAAAUCCCAUAAAACCAUUCUCAGCUCGGAUUGUAGUCUGCAACUCGACUACAUGAAGCUGGAAUCGCUAGUAAUCGUAGAUCAGCAUGCUACGGUGAAUACGUUCCCGGGUCUU